UACGGAGGGUGCAAGCGUUAUCCGGAUUUACUGGGUUUAAAGGGUGCGUAGGCGGAUAAUUAAGUCAGUGGUGAAAUCUUCAGGCUUAACCUGGAAACUGCCAUUGAUACUAUUUAUCUUGAAUACUUUGGAGGUAAGCGGAAUAUGUCAUGUAGCGGUGAAAUGCUUAGAUAUGACACAGAACACCGAUUGCGUAGGCAGCUCACAAAACUGUAACUGACGCUGAGGCUCGAAAGCGUGGGGAUCAAACAGG
RNAcentral lists this ribosomal RNA (253 nucleotides) under uncultured bacterium. Its description in RNAcentral is "partial 16S ribosomal RNA". It matches the Rfam family "Bacterial small subunit ribosomal RNA", at positions 524 to 776 of the family's 1533-position model. The record is from RNAcentral.